GGUCCUGGUCUUGGUCCUGGUCUUGGUCCUGCUCCUGGCCCUGCUCUUGGCCCUGCUCCUGGUCCUGGUCUUGGUC
This 76-nucleotide microRNA precursor is filed under the name Fukomys damarensis (Damara mole-rat). Its description in RNAcentral is "miRNA (ENSFDAG00000002305.1)". The record is from RNAcentral. Lineage: Eukaryota; Metazoa; Chordata; Mammalia; Rodentia; Bathyergidae.